GGGCCUCUAGCUCAAUUGGCAGAGCAGCGGACUUUUAAUCCGCGGGUUGUCGGUUCGAGUCCGACGGGGCCCACCA
This 76-nucleotide transfer RNA is filed under the name Aeromicrobium fastidiosum. RNAcentral describes it as "tRNA-Lys". It matches the Rfam family "tRNA". Rfam says of the family: Transfer RNA (tRNA) molecules are approximately 80 nucleotides in length. Their secondary structure includes four short double-helical elements and three loops (D, anti-codon, and T loops). Lineage: Bacteria; Bacillati; Actinomycetota; Actinomycetes; Propionibacteriales; Nocardioidaceae. The record is from RNAcentral. RNAcentral also lists the same sequence under 5 other names.